GGGGAGUCUGAGGCCUAGAUUAUCAAGGGUGCUCUUCUACUGUUAUGGUGAAAUGGACUCAGUGUUCCCUGUACAGUAAACCCCUUGGAGUAUGGUUUCACUGGGAAGUAGUUAAGCAGUGAAUCAAGUUCAGAAGCUGGCAGGACCAAUAUCAAUUGAUCAGUGCUAAUCCUCAGUGAGGUAUGAAAAUAAUAAAAUGAACUCUUAAAUUCUUCUACAUAAUAGGAGGACUUAAUUUAAGAUACAUAUUUUGUAUGUUAUAACAAACAUUAGUUUUGAAAAGUUGUGAUAACAUCAGAAUUAUACCGCUUAGACCUUUUUAGCUUAAGUGGUAAGACAAAAAUAUGUCUAAAUAUAUAAA
This is a long non-coding RNA of Anas platyrhynchos (mallard), 361 nucleotides long. RefSeq lists it as uncharacterized. The record is from RefSeq and is a predicted model, not a curated record. NCBI's taxonomy places the organism in Eukaryota, Metazoa, Chordata, Aves, Anseriformes, Anatidae.